UACGUAGGUGACAAGCGUUAUCCGGAUUUACUGGGUGUAAAGGGCGUGUAGGCGGUUUGGCAAGUCAGAAGUGAAAUUCCCGGGCUUAACUUGGGCGCUGCUUCUGAAACUGCUUAACUUGAGUACUGGAGAGGAUAGUGGAAUUCCUAGUGUAGCGGUAAAAUGCACAGAUAUUAGGAGGAACACCGGUGGCGAAGGCGGCUAUCUGGACAGUAACUGACGCUGAGGCGCGAAAGCACGGGGAGCAAACAGG
Molecule: ribosomal RNA, 253 nt
Filed under: uncultured Eubacteriales bacterium
Lineage: Bacteria; Bacillati; Bacillota; Clostridia; Eubacteriales
Description: partial 16S ribosomal RNA
Rfam family: Bacterial small subunit ribosomal RNA
Source: RNAcentral